RNAcentral lists this ribosomal RNA (1170 nucleotides) under Triticum aestivum (bread wheat). Its description in RNAcentral is "partial small subunit ribosomal RNA". Lineage: Eukaryota; Viridiplantae; Streptophyta; Magnoliopsida; Poales; Poaceae. The record is from RNAcentral.
ACAUAUCAUCACUUGUUAUUUCCAAAAGAUGAGAAAAAGAGAGUAAGUGCAAAAUGCAGUUGGCCUGGCUGUCCUUGGAGUAUUUAUGGGUCCAUUACCAGCAGGUCUGAUUGGUUUCUAGUAUGGAGGUACAACAAUGAGCACACGUGCAUUCCAAGAAGGGACAACAAGCUGGUCACAUGCGGUGUCAUUGCAAAGAAGUAUUUUAGGCAAAUCAGGGACAAUCCAUCAUGGAAGGCAGAGCACAUUCAACAAGCUGUUCUUCAGGAUCUAGUGGCUGAUGUGUCCAUCUCCAAAUGCAAAAGAGCAAAGAAACUUGUUAUGGAGAAGAUAAUUGAUCUAUCAGAUGGUGAGUAUGCUCGGGUUUAUGAUUAUCAGCUUGAGUUGCUUAGAAGCAACCCCGGUAGCACUAUUGCAGUGACAUUAAAUCCAGAAAUUCUUCACAGCAAUGUGUUUGAAAGAAUGUACAUGUGUUUAGAUGGUUGCAAGAAAGGAUUUCUUGCGGGAUGUAGAAGAGUGGUGGGGCUAGAUGGAUGUUUUUUGAAGGGUGCAUUCAAGGGGCAGUUGCUUUGUGCAAUUGGCAGAGAUGCAAAUAACCAAAUGUAUCCAAUAGCUUGGGCUAUAGUAGAGGUCGAGAGCUACGAUUCCUGGUAUUGGUUCAUUGGGUUUCUUCAAAAAGAUCUACAGAUAAACAACAAUGGUGAAGGAUGGGUUUUCAUCUCUGAUCAACAAAAAGGUCUCAUCCGGGUAGUCAAUGAGCUUGUGCCCCAUGCAGAGCAUAGGAUGUGUGCAAGACACAUUUAUGCUAAUUGGAGAAAAGAACACAGAGACAAGGUCUUUCAAAAAAUGUUUUGGGCAUGUGCAAAGUCAUCAGAUAGAAGCCAAUUCAAUUACAACAGGGCUAAGCUUGCACAAAACACAGUACAAGGUGCGAGAGACAUGAUGAAAACUGCACCAGAGCAUUGGUGUCGGGCCUACUUCAGGAUUGGCUCUUUCUAUGACUCAGUUGAGAACAACAUGUGUGAGUCAUUUAAUAAUGCCAUCAUGAGAUCAAGGUUUUACCCUGUAGUAACGGCAACGGAAAUCAUUAGAAAGAAGGUCACUGUGAGGAUCCAACAAAACAGAGCAAAGUCUCAGAAGUGGCAUGGAACCAUUUGUCCAAAUAUUUUU